RNAcentral lists this ribosomal RNA (301 nucleotides) under uncultured Spirochaeta sp. RNAcentral's name for it is "bacterial SSU rRNA". It matches the Rfam family "Bacterial small subunit ribosomal RNA", at positions 1080 to 1382 of the family's 1533-position model. The record is from RNAcentral. Lineage: Bacteria; Pseudomonadati; Spirochaetota; Spirochaetia; Spirochaetales; Spirochaetaceae.
UUACGUCCGUAACGAGCGCAACCCCUGCUGCCUGUUGCCACCACGAGAGGUGGGGACUCAGGCGGGACCGCCGGUGACAAACCGGAGGAAGGUGGGGACGACGUCAAGUCAUCAUGGCCCUUAUGUCCUGGGCUACACACGUGCUACAAUGGCCGGUACAGAGCGCAGCGAGGCCGCGAGGCGGAGCGAAUCGCUUAAAGCCGGUCCCAGUACGGAUUGGAGUCUGCAACCCGACUCCAUGAAGUUGGAAUCGCUAGUAAUCGCGCAUCAGCAUGGCGCGGUGAAUACGUUCCCGGGCCUU